AAUCCGGUUGAUCCUGCCGGACCCCACUGCUAUCGGGAUAGGACUAAGACAUGCUAGUCGAGCGCUUCAGCCAAAAAGAGGCGCGGCAUACAGCUCAGUAACACGUGGCUAAUCUGCCCUUAGGACGAGAACAACCCCGGGAAACUGGGGCUAAUUCUCGAUAGGUGAAGAACUCUGGAAUGAGUCUUCGCCCAAAAAGCUUCACGUUAUGCGCGUGAGGUCGCCUAAGGAUGAGGCCGCGACCGAUCAGGUUGUUGGUGAGGUAAUGGCUCACCAAGCCUUUUACCGGUGCGGGCCGUGAGAGCGGGAGCCCGGAGAUGGGCACUGAGACAAGGGCCCAGGCCCUACGGGGCGCAGCAGUCGCGAAAACUUUGCAAUACACGAAAGUGUGACAGGGCUAUCCCGAGUGCCAUCCGCUGAGGAAGGCUUUUACCCAGUCUAGAACGCCGGGGGAAUAAGCGGGGGGCAA
RNAcentral lists this ribosomal RNA (469 nucleotides) under uncultured archaeon. RNAcentral's name for it is "bacterial SSU rRNA". It matches the Rfam family "Archaeal small subunit ribosomal RNA", at positions 1 to 449 of the family's 1478-position model. The record is from RNAcentral.